CAAGGCAGACAGACUAUCUGCAUUUAGAAAUAUUUAAUUUCACUGGGCAUUUCAGGAGAGCCAGAAAGGCUUUGCUGGACUCUAAGGAAACUCCCAUGCACAUUUCACUUGACCUAUGCAGAUUUUGUAAGAUCAAGUUUUUACAACAGAAAUGUCCUUUUUUUAAUUAAAAAAAACCCUAAUAGAGCCAUUUAAAAAAAAAUCACCCCUCUCUUGCAGUGUUUGCAGCCAAAAUGCAGCAGCAUGGAGUUAGUGCCCGAGGACUAAGAGGUGAAAUGGAUUAUGAAAGUGAAACUGGUCAUUUUGUUUGCUCAGGCUAGGAGGAAACAAAACUUUGAGGAGGAGCAGAAACAGUGAAAAGGAGAUGAGAUGUUUGCACAGCCUUCAGAUUUUACUAAUCUCAGCUAUUAUAAGCAACACAGGAAAAAAAACGAUGUAUGUAGGCAGGUCAUAGAUUUGAAGCUCAGAUGGAUGGUGGUAAUGAGCUAUUCUGAUCUUGUGCAUGACACAAGCUACAACGUUUUACGUGAUCAUUCCUGCAUCAGGCUGGGUACCUCGUGGUGAAGCUGAAGUGUCUAUUUUCAAAAUGAUUUUGUAGGAUUAUUUUUAUUAUGCGUUACUUUUCUGGCACCCCCUCAUCAAACAGAUCUUUUUCUGUGCAAGGCCUUGUACAGACCAAACACAAAGCUAAUUCCUCUGCAAAGACUCUGCUGCCACCGAAGUUAGUGAUGGGACAAAUUGGGAAGGAUUGGACCCUGAAUUAGCAGAGGAAGGGUUGCCAGAAUGACUUCCCCAAGCAGCAAGGUGUAACUCUUUUACAUUUGCUCUGGGACCCAAGCUCCUGCUCGUCCAAAUCCAGUGCCCUUUGAGCGUUUGACGGUAUUUUAAAAUCUACGAUGGGAUGUAGGCAGAAAUCAUUUUCCCCCAGAUGUUCAUGCUGCCUUUACAGAAUGGUGAUUUCUGCACCAUUUUGCCUUCUCUGCUGUAUUUAAACCCAAGCUGAGGCAGCACAAGGGGGUGAACGAUCAGACGUGAAUGAACACAGAGUGAUUUCGGGUGCCAGGGACAAGCAGGGUAGAGGUGCUGGUUGGGACAGCUGCUGGGUGCUGUGACAAUAAAUGCUUGUUUCUCUGCUGCCCAUUGCAGCUGUUUGGAAAAUGGGGUUGGGGGAGGAGCAAUUUGUAUUUUGUGAAUAAGGACCAGCAUAAAUGACCUCUUAGCGCCUGGUGACUUAUCCUACAUUGAGGAAGCGCUUGCCCGUUGCACUUUGGAAGAUGCUAUCGGCCACCCAUUGAUGUGUCUUUGCUCUUUUGUUUUUUUACAUAUUUUAAAAGAGCAUAAUUUGGAAAAUAAAGAACGCAACAAAAACCACGAUACAAUGUGUCUGGGCAAGGCAAUAGAUAACCGUUUGGCAGAAGCUCAUGCCUCCCGAAUGCAUGCAAAGCCCACCUGCCUGGAUAUCAUCCUAAACACUGAUUGUGAAGAAAGAACAGAAUAAAACAUUUACAUCUGUAAGUUGAUUAAGUGCAGUCCCGUUGGGCCCAAUCCAUUCCCCUUUAAAGACACAGGAAGUGUUGCUAUGGAUAUUAACAAGAGUCAGACUUGGCCUUUAGCGUAGGGGCGCUUUUGCACCAUUGAACGGACAUGAAACUAUACAGCUCCUUCUGUUGAAAGAGGAUGCUGACACCAGAGACCUCCUGGGCUUCGUUCUGGUUUCCAGUUGCCUGUGCUUUCUGUCCCGAUCUCCAUCCGAACAGAUUUUUAGAGCGCUCUUCUGCAACGAAAAUUGAUCAGUUCAACACAUACCAUCUCAGGCCCAGGUUGGCCCUUUCAUGCUGAAUCCUUGGACUAAAUCCCCUGCUUUUCCUCAGUAAUUUCCUCAAUUAUCCACUUUGUUUUACAGACGUUUAGGUUUAAUGUGGAUUUUGCUGUAAAAGUUUUGUGAAGACCUCGCAAAGGAAAUCAUUAGCUUGCAUCCACUUAAACGUAUCUAGCAAAACCUUGAGGCUAAAGCAACAGGGGAGGGGAGGAGCGGGGGGAGAGAGAUAAACCAUAAUAUACCAGGAGCCUUUAACAAAUAGGUUAUUUUUCUUUGCGUAUACAAUGCACCAUUAUGUGCUUUUUUUCCAAUGAGAACAAUGCCAGCAACAGUGAUGGGAAACUGGGGAAACAAAAGGGGCAUUUAUAAAGAACUGGUUUAGAGGCUGAAAAGCAUUGAAUAACGUUACACCUGAUCACAGAUACUUGCUCAGAGGUCAUCAGCCAAUUUAACACCACAAUAUUUACUUGAAUGAUACAUAACACGGCUCUAAACACAGCAAUUAUGAGUGCUUAGUCUCCGACUGUUUUAUUGAAAUCGUCUAAGAAAUAUAGACUCCAUCUCGAGGUCGGAUUUUUUCCUAUCCUGCGAAACACGACGCUGAAAUCACGCCAUCCUC
Molecule: long non-coding RNA, 2438 nt
Organism: Gavialis gangeticus (Gharial)
Lineage: Eukaryota; Metazoa; Chordata; Crocodylia; Gavialidae
Exons: 2
Source: RefSeq, a predicted model, not a curated record